Molecule: transfer RNA, 76 nt
Filed under: Clostridiales bacterium
Lineage: Bacteria; Bacillati; Bacillota; Clostridia; Eubacteriales
Also listed under: 1 other name
Description: tRNA-Pro
Rfam family: tRNA
About the family: Transfer RNA (tRNA) molecules are approximately 80 nucleotides in length. Their secondary structure includes four short double-helical elements and three loops (D, anti-codon, and T loops). Further hydrogen bonds mediate the characteristic L-shaped molecular structure. tRNAs have two regions of fundamental functional importance: the anti-codon, which is responsible for specific mRNA codon recognition, and the 3' end, to which the tRNAs corresponding amino acid is attached (by aminoacyl-tRNA synthetases). tRNAs cope with the degeneracy of the genetic code in two manners: having more than one tRNA (with a specific anti-codon) for a particular amino acid; and 'wobble' base-pairing, i.e. permitting non-standard base-pairing at the 3rd anti-codon position.
Source: RNAcentral
CGGGGUGUAGCUCAGGUGGUAGAGUGCUUGCUUGGGGUGCAAGAGGUCGCUAGUUCAAGUCUAGUCACUCCGACCA